GAUGGAGAUGGUGGUGUCAAAGUGAUUGGUGGAUCAACUGGAGUUGAGGGUGGUGAGGUAUAGUAUCCACCACUUGAUGGAGGGUUUGAUGGUGUUGAAGGUGUUGAAGGUGUUGUUGGAGUUGAAGGAUCAUGUGGUGGUGAUGAUACACAGCCAACUGAGGGUGGAGUUGGAGUAUAAUAACCUCCAUGUGAAGGUGGUGAUGAUGAGCUUCCAUGUGAAGAUGG
Molecule: long non-coding RNA, 227 nt
Filed under: Lathyrus oleraceus (garden pea)
Lineage: Eukaryota; Viridiplantae; Streptophyta; Magnoliopsida; Fabales; Fabaceae
Description: Pisum sativum (pea) long non-coding RNA (PSAT_LNC039971)
Source: RNAcentral